This 90-nucleotide microRNA precursor is filed under the name Homo sapiens (human). RNAcentral describes it as "miAB10_pre". Lineage: Eukaryota; Metazoa; Chordata; Mammalia; Primates; Hominidae. The record is from RNAcentral.
CUGCCUGUGUGGGACUGAGAUGCAGGAUUUCUUCACACCUCUCCUUUGUGACUUCAAGAGCCUCUGGCAUCUCUUUCUGCAAAGGCAUCU